This 253-nucleotide ribosomal RNA is filed under the name uncultured bacterium. RNAcentral describes it as "partial 16S ribosomal RNA". It matches the Rfam family "Bacterial small subunit ribosomal RNA", at positions 524 to 776 of the family's 1533-position model. The record is from RNAcentral.
UACAGGGGGCGCGAGCGUUGCUCGGAAUCACUGGGCGUAAAGCGUACGUAGGCGGGUCGAUAAGUCCGUUGUGAAAUCCCAGGGCUCAACCCUGGAACUGCAGUGGAGACUGUCGAUCUUGAGUACGGGAGAGGAGAGCGGAAUUCCUGGUGUAGAGGUGAAAUGCGUAGAUAUCAGAAGGAACAUCAGUGGCGAAGGCGGCUUUCUGGACCAAUACUGACGAUCAGGUGCGAAAGCGUGGGGAGCAAACAGG